This 429-nucleotide ribosomal RNA is filed under the name Bacteroidota bacterium. RNAcentral describes it as "Bacteroidetes bacterium partial 16S ribosomal RNA". It matches the Rfam family "Bacterial small subunit ribosomal RNA", at positions 355 to 776 of the family's 1533-position model. The record is from RNAcentral. Lineage: Bacteria; Pseudomonadati; Bacteroidota.
UAGGGAAUCUUCGGCAAUGGGGGGAACCCUGACCGAGCAACGCCGCGUGAGUGAAGAAGGUUUUCGGAUCGUAAAGCUCUGUUGUUAAGGAAGAACGAGUGUGAGAAUGGAAAGUUCAUACUGUGACGGUACUUAACCAGAAAGGGACGGCUAACUACGUGCCAGCAGCCGCGGUAAUACGUAGGUCCCGAGCGUUGUCCGGAUUUAUUGGGCGUAAAGCGAGCGCAGGCGGUUAGAUAAGUCUGAAGUUAAAGGCAGUGGCUCAACCAUUGUAGGCUUUGGAAACUGUUUAACUUGAGUGCAGAAGGGGAGAAUGGAAUUCCAUGUGUAGCGGUGAAAUGCGUAGAUAUAUGGAGGAACACCGGUGGCGAAAGCGGCUCUCUGGUCUGUACCUGACGCUGGGGCUCGAAAGCGUGGGGAGCGAACAGG